AUUGAACGCUGGCGGCAGGCCUAACACAUGCAAGUCGAGCGGAUGAAGGGAGCUUGCUCCUGGAUUCAGCGGCGGACGGGUGAGUAAUGCCUAGGAAUCUGCCUGGUAGUGGGGGAUAACGUCCGGAAACGGGCGCUAAUACCGCAUACGUCCUGAGGGAGAAAGUGGGGGAUCUUCGGACCUCACGCUAUCAGAUGAGCCUAGGUCGGAUUAGCUAGUUGGUGGGGUAAUGGCCUACCAAGGCGACGAUCCGUAACUGGUCUGAGAGGAUGAUCAGUCACACUGGAACUGAGACACGGUCCAGACUCCUACGGGAGGCAGCAGUGGGGAAUAUUGGACAAUGGGCGAAAGCCUGAUCCAGCCAUGCCGCGUGUGUGAAGAAGGUCUUCGGAUUGUAAAGCACUUUAAGUUGGGAGGAAGGGCAGUAAGUUAAUACCUUGCUGUUUUGACGUUACCAACAGAAUAAGCACCGGCUAACUUCGUG
Molecule: ribosomal RNA, 484 nt
Filed under: uncultured bacterium
Lineage: Bacteria
Description: partial 16S ribosomal RNA
Rfam family: Bacterial small subunit ribosomal RNA
Source: RNAcentral